GCUCAACCGGGGAGGGUCAUUGGAAACUGGGAAACUUGAGUGCAGAAGAGGAGAGUGGAAUUCCACGUGUAGCGGUGAAAUGCUAAGAGAUGUGGAGGAACACCAGUGGCGAAGGCGACUCUCUGGUCUGUAACUGACGCUGAGGAGCGAAAGCGUGGGGAGCGAACAGGAUUAGAUACCCUGGUAGUCCACGCCGUAAACGAUGAGUGCUAAGUGUUAGGGGGUUUCCGCCCCUUAGUGCUGCAGCUAACGCAUUAAGCACUCCGCCUGGGGAGUACGGUCGCAAGACUGAAACUCAAAGGAAUUGACGGGGGCCCGCACAAGCGGUGGAGCAUGUGGUUUAAUUCGAAGCAACGCGAAGAACCUUACCAGGUCUUGACAUCCUCUGACAACCCUAGAGAUAGGGCUUUCCCUUCGGGGACAGAGUGACAGGUGGUGCAUGGUUGUCGUCAGCUCGUGUCGUGAGAUGUUGGGUUAAGUCCCGCAACGAGCGCAACCCUUGAUCUUAGUUGCCAGCAUUCAGUUGGGCACUCUAAGGUGACUGCCGGUGACAAACCGGAGGAAGGUGGGGAUGACGUCAAAUCAUCAUGCCCCUUAUGACCUGGGCUACACACGUGCUACAAUGGACAGAACAAAGGGCUGCAAGACCGCAAGGUUUAGCCAAUCCCAUAAAUCUGUUCUCAGUUCGGAUCGCAGUCUGCAACUCGACUGCGUGAAGCUGGAAUCGCUAGUAAUCGCGGAUCAGCAUGCCGCG
Molecule: ribosomal RNA, 754 nt
Filed under: Bacillus sp. SKS12
Lineage: Bacteria; Bacillati; Bacillota; Bacilli; Caryophanales; Bacillaceae
Description: bacterial SSU rRNA
Rfam family: Bacterial small subunit ribosomal RNA
Source: RNAcentral